UACGUAGGGUGCGAGCGUUGUCCGGAAUUAUUGGGCGUAAAGAGCUCGUAGGCGGUCUGUCGCGUCGAUCGUGAAAACUUGGGGCUUAACCCUGAGCUUGCGGUCGAUACGGGCAGGCUUGAGUUCGGUAGGGGAGACUGGAAUUCCUGGUGUAGCGGUGAAAUGCGCAGAUAUCAGGAGGAACACCGGUGGCGAAGGCGGGUCUCUGGGCCGAAACUGACGCUGAGGAGCGAAAGCGUGGGGAGCGAACAGG
This 253-nucleotide ribosomal RNA is filed under the name uncultured bacterium. RNAcentral's name for it is "partial 16S ribosomal RNA". It matches the Rfam family "Bacterial small subunit ribosomal RNA", at positions 524 to 776 of the family's 1533-position model. The record is from RNAcentral.